GAUAAGGUGGCUGAUUUAAGGCAAGGAACUGUAAAUUCUUUUAUAAAUAAAAUAUUUUCUUAUU
This 64-nucleotide transfer RNA is filed under the name Bactericera cockerelli (potato/tomato psyllid). RNAcentral's name for it is "tRNA-Tyr". Lineage: Eukaryota; Metazoa; Arthropoda; Insecta; Hemiptera; Triozidae. The record is from RNAcentral.